UGAGUGGGCUGUGACUCCGCGGAACCCCGCCCUGGUCCCGCGGGCGGGAACAGCCGCCCUUCGCGCAGCCAAUCAGAACACAGAGAUGGCUUUGCUUGACGUGGAAGCCACCAAGUGAGCUUGAAGGUAGAUAGAGGGCGGGGAAGCGGGGGCCGGCGAUGUUGAGAGUGAUAGGAAAAGUGGCCAGUGGGAGGGCUGGAAGGAGGGAGGAGGAGCUUCCGGUCCCGCCCCCUCACGCGUGCCCGCCCGAGGGGGUGGCUUGAAGCCUUCGGAGGCUGGAAUGGCAGUGAUGUGGUCUGAGGGGCUACUUCGGUUUUGUGGGAGCUUUGUUACAUGGGACAAGUUUUUCUCAAAUGUUUACAUUACCGAUGAACACUGGAGAGGAGAAAGUGAAGCGUAGGCACAUAGGGUGCAAGGCGUUUGACUUCAGAGCCCUUUGAAGACGUUCCAGGGCGUACUUACAUUUUAAACAACAAUGCUGACAGAAGAUGAAGCAAGGAACAGUAGCUUCAUAUUGAGUUCAGGAAGAGUGAGUUGUUUUGUUUUUUUCCUGUUCAUCCUUCUGGUAUGUCAAAAAGGCCUGCUUCACAAAUAUGUGGGACUAGACAGAGAUUUUGCGUUCUUUGUUCUCUAUGCUCUCUGAUAAGGCAGAAGGACUUUUCAUAACCAGAGAUCCUGAGAAUAAGGAGUACCAUCCUUGGAGAAAGUGUAACCUGUCAUUAAAUCAACGUGCCUUAAAGAACCAAGUCUUCUAGGGGAGCAGGCAGUGUCCCAGUCACACAUAACGUAUUAUACCAACACUACCACCUACAGGAGUUCAGCAAAAAGGAUAUGGCACUUAACAAAAUGCAAAAUAAAGCAGAAAUCAAGGCUCUUCCAAAGGAUGGUCUGACUUUUCUUAAUAUCCAGGAUUUGUCAUUUACCUUUUUUUUUUUCUCUUGAGCAACCUGUCUUUUGGAGUAAAUCUUUAGCUAUAUCAAGAGCUGUCAAGAUAAUUCUUGCCUCGUGAAUCCAAACACAGCUGUUGUUGUGCAUAGCCAUGUUUUGAAAAAGGCAUUUGUUUUUGCAUUGUAACAAACUGUGCUAGAAAUUUUGCUCUUUUUCUUGAGGAUUUAAGUGUGAGUUUAUGUGAUUUAAAUUAAGACCUCAUAUAUGUUCAUAGUUCAGAAACACAUUUGCAGAAGGACUUGGCUUAGGGAAAUGUGCAAAUUACUGGUUUUGGUUUAUAUUUAGGGAUAAGACAGAACUGGUAUUUUAGCUAGUGUGGUCAUUGUAUUACUUACACAGAUGUAUCUAUCUCAUGGCUCUGUAGCAAGCUGCUGUUAAGCUGGCGCGAACAGAAAUGUCUGAAAAUGUGUGAGGGAGAUUUUAAAAAUACAUCCUCACUUGUGGUAUCUUCCAGUGGUCUUGGUCUUUGAGGGAUUCUGUUUCCAGUUAUCCUCUAUCACAAACUAUUUUACCUCCAUAGACGAAACUGAAAUGGUAGCUUUGCAAAGUAUUUACGCUAAACCUAUGGCAUAUUAUUUUUCCUCCCUUUAUCAAUUACAUGUUGGUCAUUGCUAGAUGGAAUAGAUGAGCCAUAAGUAACAGAGAGGUUCAAAUCUGCAUCUUUAAAAGAGAGGAUGGCAGAAAAUUGCUGCAUUCCUCUCCUGGGCGGUACUACACUUCAGCAAGUACUCAAGCCCAGUUUAAUUCAGUGAAGUUUAGCUAGAAGGAAGUUUUAACCAUAUGUAAAAGGCAAAGUUACUUAAUGUCCUGUGGAAACCACUCUUCCAAAAAAUGUGUCAAAAUGGCAAUUAGAUCUUCCUUAUCACAGUAGUCAGCAAGAAAUAAAUAAGUUGAGAUGUGGUGUCUUUUAUCCUGAGCGCUCUCAUAUCCUUGUUGGGAUUUUAAUUUCCUCUGCAGGCUUGCAAGAGUCAAGUUUCUGAGAUGAUACCUGUGAGAUUAGCACCAAAUGCUGUGUGUUUAUGUAUUUUUAUCACUCAAACUGGUUGGGAACUUCAUUCCUGUUUUUGCAGGAAAAUUUCAGGUUUCGUCCAUUGGUGAUGUGACCUCUGGAGGUAUACUGACUUCCAAACAUUUGGCCUAAAUAGGAAAACAUCUGGAUGGAGUUAGUGUGAUAACUGUGAGAAGGCGAACUGAGAAGUUUUACUUGCUUGGUGACUGCUGUACAUGGCUGUCAUGUACAAAUGUCAUGCUGUACAUGACAUUUUCAAUCAAGGUGCUACUCAGAAAGAACAUUCUUAUUUUAGCAAAAGGAAGUUAAAGAUACCCAGGGAAAUGGCACAUGCAAGUAACGUAUUUAUGUGUUUAAUCAACAACAUCACUUCAUUUUCUUUAGCUUUUCUGUGCUGACUGUACUGCUUUCAGAUGUAUUUUCUAGAUGUGGAGGUAAAAUAACGAGAAUUUUUAAACUGUUUAGCAAGUGAGCUGUGGAACAAGGCAGUAAAAAUCUGCUCAAGGAGGAGGUAGACAUUUAGACUCAGAUGUUGAGCUGAGACAGAUAAUCGAAGCUCAUACUAAAACAUUAAAACAGAGAAGUAAAACACACUUGCCCAGAAUUGUUCAACAAUGCUUCCUGUCAGCUCUGAGAAGAGAGCAUUUAUACCAAGGGAUAGAAUAUAAAGUUAUCAUUUGCCAUCAUGACUACACAGAGUCUUCAGUAGCUGCAUUUAGCUUCAGAAUAUUGUAUAAGCCUGCUUUCGCUCUAAUGAUACAGCUAUUGCUGUGAAGUAGUGCUCAGAAGGUUAUACUAUGAGCUCUGAGCAGUAGCAUUUCGGAAGCAUGUCUUAAUUAGAACUUCAGACAACAGCAGACUACUAAAAAAAAAAAAAGCAAACCAGUGAAAAAGAAAACCACUGAAACAAUUGUCUGAAAAGCCAGACAUCGAAAAAUGUCACGCAGGUCUUGGUUCUUUCCCAGUGUCCUUUGGGUACUUAGCCCUAGUAUUCUCACUAUCUUCUCUGUAUUAAACCUUGUGAACUACUUAUCACACCUAAACUGAACAGUGUCAGUAUUAAUUUACCUGUCCGUGGUGUUGAAAACUAAGCUUCGGGUUGACAUAUUACUUUACAGUAUAAUAUGGAUUAAAAAGUUAUGUUCUGCUUUGAUAAAAAUAAAUGUGUUUACUCAAAAUAAUUAAAACUGUGCAGCAGAAUAAUAAUAACUAUAACGUUGGAAAGUCAUCAUGAAAGUUUGCCAUUUUCUGAAAAUAACCUCCUCCUUUUCAUCUACCAUUAUAGAGGAAAUGCAUUUUUUAACAGACAUGCAGAUAACUACCUUGACUUCUUAAGCUUUUGGUUAGAUAGGAUAGUACAGAUCUGAAAUAUCAACAGUACAUCCAGACAUCACACACUUCAUAUUGCUAUUGAAAUAUUUUCUAUACCUUAUUCUUAAAAGUAGUUCAUUUGAGCAAUUAUUUAUGUCGGUAUUUUACAAGUGGCAGAGCAUGCAAGAACCCUUGCAUUUGUGUCAGUAAUUACAUGAGUGUUAUGCUUUGCUUUUCUUGGAAUACAGCUGAUGCAUUCUGCUUAUGGUCUGAUGUUUGCAGAAUCGGGGCUGAGUAAGCUUUCCUCUUUGUUUUUUUCUUUUGCGUGUGUAUGUUUUACCAUAAUUACAGUAGGUGAAUGUUGGGUGUGCCAGCUCUGUUCGAGUUUCAUCUUUUCAUGAAGGCUGAAAAACUAUUUUCAGUCAUUCUCCAGCUACUUAUGUUAAGAUUGUAAUAAUGAGUUAGUCAAAUACCUGAUUUCCUUGAGGACUCUAAAACUGGCUUUAAAAUCAAGUGAGAAAACAUCCCCUCAGCAGCUCUUUGGGUGUAAUUUACUCAAUUUGAAAAUAUAAGCAUACUAUUUUUGUUGAUCUCUUAUGCUGCACUAAGCUUUGUAGAAGAGAUUUUACCAAGCAUCAUUUUCUUUCUGUGCUGAUGAACUCAUUAGCUGGCUUGCCUUAAUGCUCCAACGUGAUUGUGCUGGUGAACCUCAGCAACCAGCCAGAGAUGUUACAAGCGCUCAGAACUGGUCUGACAGACUGCCUGAGGGAGAUCCUCUGCCCUUCUUACAAGGCAUGUUAUGCUGAAGAAAUCAAAAAUGUGUCACUGUGCCUUUGGUAUGAUUUUAACUUCAAGCCUGUCUUCUCACUAAGUAUUGCCAGAGCUUUGAGUUGGUUUCAUAAUGAUAGACAACAUCAGUAAGGGACAGUCUGAGUGACAGUUAAAUACAGUUUAUAUGUACACUAAGGCAGCAUUCCUUGAAAAGUGGUGAACUGAAGAAUGCAGGCACUGUCUCUGAAAAAUGAGCUCCAAGUUGUUUAUGGGGAGCAAGUCUGGUUGAAGAAAGUGGCUCUAAACUGUGAAUUUGGAGGGUAAGCUAACUCUCAGCAGCUUUGUCUACAGGGCUCAGUUUCUGUGUAAAGCUUUGCAUAAUAGCGAACAGCAAUGCAUGAGCUUUGCCUGUUUUCCCAAUAACAGUGCAGCAGGAACACCUUUCAUAUCAAAAGCUGGAAUUGACUGUAAUGAAGUGAUCUGGCAUGCAGCCUAAUUAGCAUAGAAUAAGACCUUGUCGUGCAUCAUUUGCACCGCAGGAAUCAUCUGUGUCCAUGCAUUUCUAUAACACUCUCAGACAUAGGGUCUGGAUUUUGAGUUGCCCUGUGUGGAGUCAGGAGUUGGACACAAUGAUCCCUGAAGGUUUCUUCCAACUCAGGACAUCCUGUGAUUCUAUGACUUUAUGGUCAUUUGCUAACCAAGCACUGGUAUACGCUACCUAAGUGCACGUGCAGGAAGUCCGGCCUAGAUUUUGUAUGGGGCAAGGCAAAAGGCUCAAAUGCUUGAUGAAAGACAAAAAAGACAGUUUAUGACCACUUUGUCCAGUUUGGUCAGGUUUCUGUGUUGUUUUUACUUCAUUAGUGUGAACAAUGUGAGCUGAAUAAACAAGUAAUGUGGCUGUGGUGAGGAUGUAAUUUCCACCAGCCUUUCACCAUGGUGUGACCAAUUGCGUCUUUGUGGUUAGAUUGAUUCCUACUUUACACAAGACUAAGAACAGAAUCAGGCAGCUUCUUUGGUGUGAAGGGUAUAUGUAGCAUCUUCAUGUUGUUUUUAUAUAUUACAUAGGUACUCACCAAGAUACUGUCUGUGACACCUGUUUUGUCUUGAUCCUUAGGAAAUACAGAAAAACUAAAAGGUAAUUUGGAAUAGUUCUAAUUUUCCUGCUCCUUAUUGCAGCUAAUAAAGAUGUUGAUUUAUAUAUUCAAUAUGAUUUGCAUGUAUUUUAUGGUUAUUUCAUUUCCAUUCUGGCUCUAAUACAAACUAACCUUCUUAUAUUGGGGAGCACACUGCCUUCUGAAUGACAAUCUGGAAAAUAGUUCUGGAAAGUAGGACUCAGAUUUUACUCUUGCCAUUUUCCCUGCUCUCCUUUUUCCUUAGUAAAAGUGAAAGCUCUUCCUAAAUCCAAAUGUACAUCUCUCUGCAGCAUCCACAACAAACUCCUCCUAACUGCAGCUUAAUUCCUUUUAGCAUUCUUCCAGAAGACACAGAGGGAAAUAUUCCUGACAUUGCAUCAGUGGUUUCACUGAAGUUGACUUCACUUGAGCAAAGAGAGUAGCAUUGGACUAGUAAAUAAAGUUAUGAAUGUCUGGAAAAAAGAUAACCCCAAGAGCCUUAGAUGUAAUUAUUCUGUUCUUAGCUAUAAUGAUGUUGGGAUUUAUCUUAACACUUCUCACAUGUGAAUCAUUAAUCAGAUUGCUGAUGAUAUCGAUAGUUCCUUGCCUGAAUGCAGUUGGAAGUUUGCAAGGAUCUUUCCAACAAUCACACAUACAGACAGCUAUUCCAAUGUUGUUUUUAUCCUAUGUCCACAUGAGGUGAUGCUUAUGUGACCACACUGUAUGUCUGUGUGUCUGCCUAAUAAAUUUGGAGCACUUUCAGCCAACUAGGACAGUGCUAAAGGUCCCAAAAUUCAAAUUUCCUGAGCUGCUUAGGGAAAUAGAAGAUGCAAUCCAGGAAAGAGACUCAAUUACUGUAUUCAUUGAGAGAAGGCUGUAAGGUUUCCCUGUUUCUAUGGGACACUGGAGAGUUUAGAUAAUGCAGACAGGGAAACAGCGGGAAACUCUUCAGUCAGUUUUCACCUCAUUAAACACAAGAGAAUCCAACUCAUAAGACAGAGGGUGGUAGGAGACCAGAUUUCAUUGCUUAUGAUAUGGUGGGGGAAGGGUUUAAUAUGGCUUCUUGCAGAAAGAACAAUCCUGUUACAGCUUACCUCCUUCAAACAAGCAGAGACUAGGAGGGCAGGAAGAUGUUGGACUUCACCUUCCACUUUUUCUAACUUGCAGUAAAUUACUUCCGUGCUGAUUCUAGGUGAUAUCUUGAAA
Meleagris gallopavo (turkey) is the source of this 6357-nucleotide non-coding RNA. The record is from RefSeq and is a predicted model, not a curated record. NCBI's taxonomy places the organism in Eukaryota, Metazoa, Chordata, Aves, Galliformes, Phasianidae.